GGGUUGCUAACUCAACGGUAGAGUACUCGGCUUUUAAGUGCGGCUAGGAUCUUUUACACAUUAGAUGAAGCGAGGGAUUCAUCCAUACCAUCGGUAAAGUUUGGAAGACCACGACUGAUCCUGAAAGGGAAUGAAUGGAAAAAAUAGCAUGUCGUAUCAAUUAAGAGUUCUGAGAAUAAUUUAUUCCGGCUCGGUACAAAACCUUCUUUAAAUUAGUGAAAGGGAGCAAACCGAAGUCAAUUUCAAGUUGGGUCGAAUUAAUAAAUGGAUAGGGCCCCGCGGCUUCAAUUAAUUUCAUUUUGAUUAUAGGGAAAGAAAAAGCAACGAGCUUCCGUUCUUAAUUUGAAUGAUUACCCGAUCUAAUUAGACGUUAAAAAAAUAUUAGUGCCCAAUACGGGAAGGCUUUCUCCCAGGAAGGAAUGUAUUCUUGAUUUUUUAAUGAAUCCUAAAUAUUACCAUUCUCCAUUCCAUAAUGGAGAUGUGUGUGUAUAAGAAACAGUAUAUUGAUAAAAAAUUUCCAAAAUCAAAAGAGCGAUUGGGUUGAAAAAAAAGUAAAGGAUUUCUAAUCAUCUUGUUAUCCUAUAAUGAAAACGAACAUAAAUAUUGAAAUUGAAAUGGAAAAAGAGAGGCUAGAGAAUCUGUUGAUAAGUUUAUCUGUAUCCGAGGUAUCUAUUCGGUUUGUACUAUAAUACCUUGUUUUGACUGUAUCGCACUAUGUAUCAUUUGAUAACCCCCAAAAUCCUCUACCUUUCAUUUAAAUAGAAUUUCAAAUGGAGAAAUUCCAAAGCUAUUUAGGGCUAGAUAGAUCUCAACAACACCACUUCUUAUAUCCACUUAUCUUUCAGGAGUAUAUUUAUGUACUUGCUCAUGAUCAUGGUUUAACUAGAUCGAUUUUGUUGGAAAAUGCAGGUUAUGACAAUAAAUCCAGCUUACUAAUUGUGAAACGUUUAAUCAAUCGAAUGUAUCAACAGAAUCAUUUGAUUCUUUCGGUUAAUAAUUCUAAACAGACUCCAUUUUUGGGGCACAACAAGAAUUUUUAUUCGCAAGUAAUGUCCGAGGUCUCUUCAAUCAUUAUGGAAAUUCCAUUGUCUCUGCGAUUAAUAUCUUACCUAGAAAGGAAAGGGGUAGUCAAAUCCGAUAAUUUACGAUCAAUUCAUUCAAUAUUUUCUUUUUUAGAGGACAACUUUUCACAUUUAAAUUAUGUAUUAGAUAUACUAAUACCUUACCCAGCCCAUCUGGAAAUCUUGGUUCAGGCUCUUCGCUAUUGGAUAAAAGAUGCUUCCUCUUUGCAUUUAUUAAGAUUCUUUCUCCAUGAGUGUCAUAAUUGGGAUAGUCUGAUUACUUCAAAUUCAAAGAAAGCCAGUUCUUCUUUUUCAAAAAGAAAUCACAGACUAUUCUUCUUCCUAUAUACUUCUCAUUUAUGUGAAUAUGAAUCCGGCUUCCUCUUUCUCCGUAACCAAUCUUCUCACUUACGAUCAACAUCUUCUGGAGCCCUUAUUGAACGAAUAUAUUUCUAUGGAAAAAUAGAUCAUCUUGCAGAAGUCUUUGCCAGGGCUUUUCAAGCGAAUUUAUGGUUGUUCAAAGAUCCUUUCAUGCAUUAUGUUAGGUAUCAAGGAAAAUCCAUUCUUGGUUCAAAAGGGACGUUUCUUUUGAUGAAUAAAUGGAAAUAUUACUUUGUCAAUUUCUGGAAAUCUUAUUUUUACCUGUGGUCUCAACCAGGAAGGAUUUAUAUAAACCAAUUAUCCAAUCAUUCCCUUGACUUUCUGGGUUAUCGUUCAAGUGUGCGGCUAAAGCCUUCAAUGGUACGCAGUCAAAUGCUAGAAAAUGCAUUUAUAAUUGAAAAUGCUAUUAAGAAGUUUGAGACUAUUGUUCCAAUUAUGCCUUUGAUUGGAUCAUUGGCUAAAUCUAAAUUUUGUAAUGCAUUGGGGCAUCCUAUUGGUAAGGCGAUUUGGGCCGAUUUCUCAGAUUCUGAUAUUAUUGACCGCUUUGGGCGUAUAUACAGAAAUCUUUCUCAUUAUCAUAGUGGAUCUUCAAAAAAAAAGAGUUUGUAUCGAGUAAAGUAUAUACUUCGACUUUCUUGUGCUAGAACUUUAGCUCGUAAGCAUAAAAGCACUGUACGUGCUUUUUUGAAAAGAUUCGGCUCGGAAUUAUUAGAAGAAUUCUUUACGGAAGAAGAACAAGUUUUUUCCCUGACCUUUCCAAGGGUUUCUUCCAUUUCGCGAAGGUUAUCUAGAAGGCGGAUUUGGUAUUUGGAUAUUAUUUGUAUCAAUGAUUUGGCCAAUCAUGAAUGAUUCGUUAUGAAACCUUGUAAAUAUAAAUUUCAUCACUAAAUAAUCUAAUAAAUAAUGUAAAUAAUGAAGAGCUAACAAAAAAUUAUUUCUUUCUAUUCUGAAAUGUUGAUGUAGUAUGUAGUAAGGAUGAAAUCAACUGAGUAUUCAAUCUUUUCUUGUCUAAUGAAGGAACUGAGUUUUAGAUGUAUACAGAGGGAAAGCCGUGUGCAAUGAAAAAUGCAAGCACGGCUUGGGGAGGGAUUUUUACUUAUUUAACUUUAACAAGGAAAUUAUCUACUCCAUCCGACUAGUUCCGGGUUCGAAUCCCGGGCAACCCA
Non-coding RNA from Lactuca sativa (garden lettuce), 2608 nucleotides. NCBI's taxonomy places the organism in Eukaryota, Viridiplantae, Streptophyta, Magnoliopsida, Asterales, Asteraceae. The record is from the annotation of a RefSeq genome assembly.